This 173-nucleotide ribosomal RNA is filed under the name uncultured Septoglomus. RNAcentral describes it as "partial small subunit ribosomal RNA". It matches the Rfam family "Eukaryotic small subunit ribosomal RNA", at positions 590 to 767 of the family's 1831-position model. Lineage: Eukaryota; Fungi; Glomeromycota; Glomeromycetes; Glomerales; Glomeraceae. The record is from RNAcentral.
GCUCAUAGCGUAUAUUAAGUUGUUGCAGUUAAAAAGCUCGUAGUUGAAUUUCGGGAUCAAUUUGUUGGUCGUGCCUCUGUACUUACUGGGAUUAUUGGUUUCUACCUUCUGAAUAACCUUGAUGUCAUUAAUUUGGUGUCUUGGGGAAUCAGGACUGUUACUUUGAAAAAAUU